UGGAGUGCAGUGGUAGCAGCGCGAUUUCGGCUCUCUGGAACAUCCGCCUCCCGGGUUCAAGCAAUUCUCCUGCCUCAGCCUCCCGAGUAGCUGGGAUUACAGGCACCUACCACCACACCCGGCUAAUUUUUGUAUUUUUAGUAGAGACUGGGUUUCACUAUGUUGGCCAGGCUGCUCCCGAACUCCUGACUUUGUGAUCUGCUAGUCUCAGCCUCCCAAAGUGCUGGGAUUACAGGCGUGAGCUACCUUGCCCGAUCCCACUUUUUUUUUUUGAGACAGAGGCAACUAUAUCGCAGAACUCCUGGGCUCAAGUCAUGCUCCCGUCCAGUCUCUCAACUAGCUGGAAUUACAGGUGUGAGCUUGGCUUCCUUCCUCUUUUCUGGAAGGUUCUAGUGAUGCAAAACUUUUCACCAUUUCCCAAAUGCUACAUGCUUUUCAAUGCAUUUGUUUGUUUUCAUGUGCUGCUCCCUCUGCCUAGUGAACUCCUACAUACCAUUCGAGACCUAAACUUUUCUACUCUCUAUUAUGUCUCCCAGGAAAUCCUCUGGUCUCAUACAUUAUUCUAUUUACAACAGUGAGUUGUGACUUCUUAUUUGUAACUAUGUUUCAAGUAUUCUUGGAAUAUAGUAGGUGCUUUAUACAUUUUGGUAAAUUAAUGAAUGAAGUUGCCAUUAUGGGGCAAAUAAGAGGGCUGCAAACAUUAUCUGGGGAAACUUGGCCAACAGUCCCCAGAGUUCUGGACCCUUUUUUUUUUUUUUUUUGAGACGGAGUCGUCUCGCUCUGUCGCCCAGGCUGGUGUGCAGUGGCCUGAUCUCAGCUCACUGCAAGCUCUGCCUCCCAGGUUUACGCCAUUCUCCUGCCUCAGCCUCCCGAGUAGCUGGGACUACAGGCUCGCCACCUCAGCCCGGGUAGUUUUUUGUAUUUUUUUAGUAGAGACGGGGUUUCAUCGUGUUAGCCAGGAUGGUCUCGAUCUCUUGACCUCGUGAUCCGCCCGUCUUGGCCUCCCAAAGUGCUUGGGAUUAUAGGCUUGAGCCACCACACCCAGCCUUCUAAGAUUAGAGAUAGUUUGAGAAAAGAUAACAACAACAAAAGCUACAUGCCAUUUAUUAAGUCCUUACUGUCUACUAGAGUUGUUCUAAGCCUUGGUACACUUCAUCUCAUCUCAUCUUCAUAAUAGUACUAUGAGGUAGUUAUUACCUUCAUGAGGGUUUAUUCCCCUGAAUACAUUAUCUUCAUUUUACACUGGGGUGACUGAGGUUCAGAAAAGCAAAGGAAUUUCUUCCUUCCAAAGUUUUACAGCUAGGAUUUAAAUCCAGAUCUGGGCCAGGUACAGCAGCUCACACUUGCAAUCCCAGCAUUUUGGGAGGCAGAGGUGGGAGAAUCACUUGAGGCCAGGAGUUCAAGACCAGUCUGGGCAACAAAGUGAGACCCUGUCUCUACAAAAAAAAAAAAUUACCUGGGUGAGGUGGUGUGCACCUGUAGUCCCAGCUACUCGGGAGACUUAGGUGAGAGUAUCACUUGAGUCCACUGGAUGACAGAGCGAGACCUUGUCUCUAAAUUAAUCGGUACAUCCAGAUCUGUUGGCCUUUCAAAUCCAGGUUUUUAACCGCUAAGCUUUUCUGACUCUGAAUUCUUGACGUGUGAACUUUUUCUUCUGUAUCAUGGGAGAACCGAAUCCCAUGGCUCCUUCUGCCCAGUCUUGGAAACUCCAUUGUCAGAUGGGUCCCAAACUGUGUGGCGGGGGACUGGGAUUACGCAGACAGGCUGGGAGAGAUUAGAAGUUCCAACCUAAUCUUUGUGCUGAGAUCUUGACCUGCACCCGUGGUGGGGUGGGGGGAUUGCUAAUCAUUUACUUACUACUUAUGACCUCUGCCACCCCUGGAAUGGCCUAUGCUGUGGCUAAAUUAGCAAAAAAAAAAAAAAAAAAAAAAAA
This 1933-nucleotide long non-coding RNA is filed under the name Macaca fascicularis (crab-eating macaque). Its description in RNAcentral is "lncRNA (ENSMFAG00000062078.1)". The record is from RNAcentral. Lineage: Eukaryota; Metazoa; Chordata; Mammalia; Primates; Cercopithecidae.